Hermetia illucens (black soldier fly) is the source of this 1207-nucleotide long non-coding RNA. RefSeq lists it as uncharacterized. The transcript is spliced from 3 exons. The record is from RefSeq and is a predicted model, not a curated record. NCBI's taxonomy places the organism in Eukaryota, Metazoa, Arthropoda, Insecta, Diptera, Stratiomyidae.
CCCCCGAGCGCCGUUCCGAUAUUCGGCCAGCGGAAAACUUUUCUUUUUGCCCGAAUCUGCAUCACAUCGGCAAAAAUAAAUUUUCUGAUUCAUCUCUUUCCACUCGCUCUAGGCGAUUGGUGCUGUCGUCUCGUUCGCGCUGCCGUCUGGCACCGCGGCGACGAUCAGGUGUUGCUCCGUCGGUCCCGUUCCGGCCUUCUGGCCAUUGAAACUUCGAGACCCCGUCACAUCACACUCUGCUUCCCAGAUAAAGUGUAGAAAUUGGUCGGGACAACAACAACACGGGGAAGAAAAAUGGAAAUAAGCUUCAGCUGUCCGCCACGGACGACCUAGAAAACCCUUUUGAUAAUUGUAGUCAGCACAUAUCACGCGACUUGAUAGAUUCUGUUGUUUCGUGACAAAUUUUCAUUAAACAAUAUCAUAUCAACGACAAUGAUUUGCGGAUGACCUGAAUUCCAAAGUGGUUGAUACGUAGUUGCUCCUUGACAUUCAAAUCUGGGCAGCAUCGCUACUCAAUAAUCUUGCACGAAUUAUAUUGGAUCUGAAUUGAAUAAGAUUGGACCACAAUUCAAUUAGUAAGAACUAGACUCGUGUAGAGAAACGAUUAGUGUAUUUCUGGAAUAUCGACGAUAAGGAAGCUUAAUCUACUCUUCUUCGAUGCUACUUAAAGGGUAGUGAUGGUGCAUAUAAAACAGAAUAAUCAACAUUUCUUUUGAAAUUCAAUCUUACUGAGAGAGAAAAUCAACUCGAGGAAAUUUCCUGCUUAUUAUUUGAAAUGAGUCAUUGAGACUGUCAUGAGUCACUUUCACACUAAAAGCAUUUCAAAAUAUAAACAAAUUCGUCUACCGACUUAUCGAAUCACAUGUUAUGGUUAAACAUGUUAUCUAAUAUGUCGCGAAUUGUGUUUUUUUUUCAGUUAUUUAUUCAAUAGACAAAAGUACAAUGUGCAAGGCGCGAAUAAGAUGGAAAUUGCGAUUCCCAAGGCAUUGGACCGCUGUAGGUUGCGGAAUUAAACUAAUUUAUCAGCUACUUUGAGCUAUUUAUAUACAGAGUCAUCGGUCAUGAGCCAAUUGACUACGAAAUUGGAGCUUAUCUAAGUAGGUAAUGUGAUGAUGGAAAUGUUGUUUUUGCCAUAUUCGCCACGAAGUUGUUACUUGAAAAAUGCCAUUGGGGAAGCUAUAACUCAUACGAAGUAAGCGAAAAUGUA